RNAcentral lists this ribosomal RNA (1410 nucleotides) under uncultured Cyanobacterium sp. RNAcentral's name for it is "bacterial SSU rRNA". It matches the Rfam family "Bacterial small subunit ribosomal RNA". Lineage: Bacteria; Bacillati; Cyanobacteriota; Cyanophyceae; Chroococcales; Geminocystaceae. The record is from RNAcentral.
UAACACAUGCAAGUCGAACGGUCUUUUAGGAGACAGUGGCGGACGGGUGAGUAACGCGUAAGAAUCUACCUUCAGGUUGGGGACAACCACUGGAAACGGUGGCUAAUACCGAAUGUGCCGAGAGGUGAAAGGCUUGCUGCCUGAAGAAGAGCUUGCGUCUGAUUAGCUAGUUGGUAGUGUAAGAGACUACCAAGGCGACGAUCAGUAGCUGGUCUGAGAGGAUGAUCAGCCACACUGGGACUGAGACACGGCCCAGACUCCUACGGGAGGCAGCAGUGGGGAAUUUUCCGCAAUGGGCGAAAGCCUGACGGAGCAAUACCGCGUGAGGGAGGAAGGCUCUUGGGUUGUAAACCUCUUUUCUCAGGGAAGAACAGAAUGACGGUACCUGAGGAAUAAGCAUCGGCUAACUCCGUGCCAGCAGCCGCGGUAAUACGGAGGAUGCAAGCGUUAUCCGGAAUGAUUGGGCGUAAAGGGUCCGCAGGUGGCAUUGUAAGUCUGCUGUUAAAGAGUUUGGCUCAACCAAAUAAGAGCAGUGGAAACUACAAAGCUAGAGUGUGGUCGGGGCAGAGGGAAUUCCUGGUGUAGCGGUGAAAUGCGUAGAUAUCAGGAAGAACACCAGUGGCGAAGGCGCUCUGCUAGGCCGAGACUGACACUGAGGGACGAAAGCUAGGGGAGCGAAUGGGAUUAGAUACCCCAGUAGUCCUAGCCGUAAACGAUGGAUACUAGGCGUAGCUCGUAUCGACCCGAGCUGUGCCGGAGCUAACGCGUUAAGUAUCCCGCCUGGGGAGUACGCAGGCAACUGUGAAACUCAAAGGAAUUGACGGGGGCCCGCACAAGCGGUGGAGUAUGUGGUUUAAUUCGAUGCAACGCGAAGAACCUUACCAAGGCUUGACAUGUCACGAAUCCUAUUGAAAGAUGGGAGUGCCUUCGGGAGCGUGAACACAGGUGGUGCAUGGCUGUCGUCAGCUCGUGUCGUGAGAUGUUGGGUUAAGUCCCGCAACGAGCGCAACCCUCGUUUUUAGUUGCCAGCAUUARGWUGGGCACUCUAGAGAGACUGCCGGUGACAAACCGGAGGAAGGUGGGGAUGACGUCAAGUCAGCAUGCCCCUUACGUCUUGGGCUACACACGUACUACAAUGCUACGGACAAAGGGCAGCUACACAGCGAUGUGAUGCGAAUCUCGUAAACCGUAGCUCAGUUCAGAUCGAAGGCUGCAACUCGCCUUCGUGAAGGAGGAAUCGCUAGUAAUUGCAGGUCAGCAUACUGCAGUGAAUUCGUUCCCGGGCCUUGUACACACCGCCCGUCACACCAUGGAAGUUGGUCACGCCCGAAGUCGUUACCCCAACCUAUUGGAGGGGGAUGCCUAAGGUAGGACUGAUGACUGGGGUGAAGUCGUAACAAGGUAGCCGUA